This 218-nucleotide unclassified non-coding RNA is filed under the name Hevea brasiliensis (rubber tree). The record is from RNAcentral. Lineage: Eukaryota; Viridiplantae; Streptophyta; Magnoliopsida; Malpighiales; Euphorbiaceae.
AAUAUGGCACGGAACUGAACCAAGGUGACUUGAAAAUGCCAACCUUUGAAUCAGAAGAAACCAAAGACACAGAGGCUCCCACAGCACCUCAAAAUAGCCAGUUAACGUGGAAGCAAGGCAGACAACUGUUAAGACAAUAUCUUCAGGAAGUAGGUUAUACAGAUACAAUAUUAGAUGUACGAUCUCAGCGGGUAAGAUCAUUACUUGGACUGUCCAAU